This 460-nucleotide ribosomal RNA is filed under the name uncultured bacterium. RNAcentral's name for it is "partial 16S ribosomal RNA". It matches the Rfam family "Bacterial small subunit ribosomal RNA", at positions 338 to 795 of the family's 1533-position model. The record is from RNAcentral.
CCUACGGGGGGCAGCAGUGAGGAAUAUUGGUCAAUGGGCGCGAGCCUGAACCAGCCAAGUAGCGUGAAGGAUGAAUGCCCUACGGGUUGUAAACAUCUUUUAUAAAGGAAUAAAGUGAGGCACGUGUGCCUUUUUGUAUGUACUUUAUGAAUAGGGAUCGGCUAACUCCGUGCCAUCAGCCGCGGUAAGACGGAGGAUCCGAGCGUUAUCCGGAUUUAUUGGGUUUAAAGGGAGCGUAGGUGGGUUGUUAAGUCAGUUGUGAAAGUUUGUGGCUCAACCGUAAAACUGCAAUUGAUACUGGCAGCCUUGAGUACAGUAGAGGUAGGCGGAAUUCGUGGUGUAGCGGUGAAAUGCUGAGAGAUCACGAAGAAUUCCGAUUGCGAAGGCAGCCUCCUAAACGGCCACUGACAUUGAUGCUCGAAAGUGUGGGUAUCAAACAGGAUUAGAUACCCGUGUAGUC